AAGGGUGCGUAGGCGGCCUGUUAAGUCAGAGGUGAAAGACGGUAGCUCAACUAUCGCAGUGCCUUUGAUACUGAUCGGGCUUGAAUGGACUAGAGGUAGGCGGAAUGAGACAAGUAGCGGUGAAAUGCAUAGAUAUGUCUCAGAACACCGAUUGCGAAGGCAGCUUACUAUGGUUUUAUUGACGCUGAGGCACGAAAGCGUGGGGAUCAAACAGGAUUAGAUACCCCAGU
Molecule: ribosomal RNA, 230 nt
Filed under: uncultured bacterium
Lineage: Bacteria
Description: partial 16S ribosomal RNA
Rfam family: Bacterial small subunit ribosomal RNA
Source: RNAcentral